CCUACGGGUGGCUGCAGUGAGGAAUAUUGGUCAAUGGACGCAAGUCUGAACCAGCCAUGCCGCGUGCAGGAUGACGGCUCUAUGAGUUGUAAACUGCUUUUGUACGAGGGUAAACGCAGAUACGUGUAUCUGUCUGAGAGUAUCGUACGAAUAAGGAUAGGCUAACUCCGUGCCAGCAGCCGCGGUAAUACGGAGGAUUCAAGCGUUAUCCGGAGUUAUUGGGUUUAAAGGGUGCGUAGGCGGUCGGAUAAGUUAGAGGUAAAAUCCCUAGGCUCAACUUCGGAAUUGCCUCUCACACUGUUCGUCUAGAGAGUAGUUGCGGUAGACGGAAUGUAUAGUGUAGCGGUGAAAUGCUUAGAGAUCAGACAGAACACCAAUUGCGAAGGCAGCUUACCGAGCUACUUCUGACGUUGAGGCACGAAAGCGUGGGGAGCAAACAGGAUUAGAUACCCGUGUAGUC
RNAcentral lists this ribosomal RNA (460 nucleotides) under uncultured bacterium. Its description in RNAcentral is "partial 16S ribosomal RNA". It matches the Rfam family "Bacterial small subunit ribosomal RNA", at positions 338 to 795 of the family's 1533-position model. The record is from RNAcentral.